Molecule: long non-coding RNA, 842 nt
Organism: Equus caballus (horse)
Lineage: Eukaryota; Metazoa; Chordata; Mammalia; Perissodactyla; Equidae
Source: Ensembl
AUUGUGAAAUGUUUCUAGAACCUUGCUACUCAAACUCUGAUCCACUGAGAGCGGCGUGGGCAUCCGUCCAUCCAUCCAGCCAGCCAGCCAGCCAUCCAUUCAUCCAUCCAUCCACCCACCCACCCACCUUGAUAGCAGCAUGGGCAGCCCUGCCCCAGGCAUGCUGAAUCAGACUCUGCCUUUUAACAAGAUCCUCAGGUGACUUGUGUGGACUUUCAAAGACAGAGAAGCGCUAAUCCUGGCCAUUCUAAAUUUUCCUUCUGGGCAUUGUAUGCAUCCUUCCUGGAGUUUCUUUGGUGAACAUCUGAUGACUGAUACCUUUAACAGACUGCAGUUCUUUCUCAUUAUCCAAUCUGUGAAGAGGCUGACAUGUUCACUUAAGGAAUCUUGGAUACGUCAGGGGUCAACUGAUUCCAUUUAGCACAUCAAAUUAUACCCAGAAUACUGUGUUCCACUCUGCUGUUUGAACAAAGCCUGAAAAUGACCUUGAUAGCUUAUAAAGGAUACUCAUAAAGUUGUAAACUCUAAUAUGCCAGUUCACUUAAAGUUUGACUUUUAACAGACUGAUGGUCCAGCAGUAUGAGAAUAAAUUUAAUGUAGUGGACUACAAUGAGUAUUCUGGCAGAAUGUGCAAAGCACAGAUUCAGUUGGCUUUGAAUGGAAUCAUCAAGUUGGUGAUAACCGAAUGCAAAUGAAUUAAUGAUUGGCAGGCAAGAGCACUAUAUGAUUUUAAAAUGAUAGUAGCAUUCUUACUCUGAGAUAUUUCCAUUAGAUACAAAUUCCCUAAAUGUUAUUAAGCAAAAUCAGCCCUUGACUGGAAUAAAAUUUCACCUUUUCCUCUU